GGAGGGGAGAGGAAGUCCUACACUUCAGGACUUCUCUCAAGCGCAUCAGACGCUACUUCUGAGAGGAGGCAGAGGACCUUUGCCACCAGUGAGGAGCGAUCCAGAGGUGACCAGGCGGAGAGGUGGAGCCCCGGUGUUUGUAUGCGAGCGGGGUGAAGACGGAGGCCCUCCUGUCUGUGGGUCAGCCCAUGAGAGAAGAUGAAGAGCCAAAUCACCAACGCUCUCUCCGACUUCUUCUUUGAGUAUGAGACCCCGCGCCAGGUGCUGGUGAGGAACAGGAGGGUGGGAGUGGUGUGCCGUCUGAUCCAGCUGGGGGUCCUGGCCUACAUCAUCGGGUGGGUGUUCAUCUACGAGAAGGGCUACCAGUCCACGGACACAGCAGUGAGCUCCGUCUUCAGUAAAAUGAAGGGAGUGGGCUACACCAACGUGAACGGAAGCGAGCGAGUCUGGGACGUGGCCGACUACGUCUUCCCUUCGCAGGGUGACUCGUCAUUUGUGGUGAUGACAAACUACAUCAUCACUGAGGGUCAGAAGAUGGGAAAGUGUCCAGAGCUCCAAGGCAAGCACAACUGCAGCUCCGACGCCGACUGUGAAGGAGGGAGUUUCAAACGUACGGGACAUGGACAAAUGACGGGAGUCUGUGUGAAUAGCACUAAGACCUGUGAGGUGCUGGCUUGGUGCCCUGUUGAGGAUGAUCACAACAUACCAGACCCUCCUCUGUUGAUGUCUGCAGAGAACUACACACUCUUCAUCAAGAAUUCUGUAACUUUCCCCUUAUUUGGGGUCACAAGGAGUAACUUGGUGGAGGGUGUUGAUGCUGCUUACAUCAGCAAAUGCCUUCAUAAUCCAGAGGAUGCUCCACUGUGUCCCAUAUUCAGAUUGGGAGACGUAGUUAAACUGUCUGGCUUCAAUUUUGAAACAAUAGCCCGAGUGGGAGGGGCCAUUGGUAUUGUGGUCGACUGGACGUGUAACUUUGAUGUGGACGUGACACACUGUAAGCCAAAGUACAACUUCCACGGCCUGUACGGAAACCCUGCUGAGACAGACAAAGCCAGAGCUUCAGUGGGCUACAACUUCAGGUAUGCAAAGCAUUAUUUGGAGGACAAGGUUCAGAAAAGAACCCUUCUCAAAGUGUUUGGGAUCAGGAUCGAUAUCAUUGUGCAGUCACUGGCAAGAAAAUUUGAUAUAAUCCCCACGCUGACAGCUAUAGGCUCUGGAGUGGGCAUAUUCGGAGUGGCCACUGUGGUUUGUGACUUGGUGCUGCUCUAUUUGCUACCAAAAAGAGAAUUUUACAAGAACAUGAAAUUCAAAUACACAGACACGCACAUGCAGCGUGACAGCGAGUCGCUUGGUUUAGACACAAGCGUCUAUUACGCCCUCGAAGCAAAUGCAAGACAAGUCCGAGGCACUGACCAGUCCAACGUGAGUGCAUGUAGAGGUCUAGACCGUGGACUCGAUUUUGUUUUAAUGUGUCCCUCCCUAAUGAGAAUCCCUCUGGUUGUUACCUGAGAGGUCUAAAUCCUGUCCUGUGGAUUUGACUUUUAUCCCACAGGACCCUGACUCAGAGGCAGGUAGCACAGAGACUGAGGUAUCUAAAAAGUGACCUGGGAGCAAACUUACAAGGUACUACUUCCAAGAUGUGCAGUACUGGAAACCUGCAAAUGCCUGCAACACGCACACUCUCACAAACAAAAUGGACUUUGGGGCUGAAGAGGACACAGUCAAAUGACAUUGAUCCACAUGUCCUCCAUUUCUCCUUGAUCUUCAGCAGCAUCUUCUACCAACAACGUCUUUGCUCUCUUCAGAGACAGUGACUCUUACUAAUCUAUGUGGAGCCCUAGCGUAGCUCAGCUGUGUACCUUUUUGGGUGUAGCUCGAUUUGUUUUUGUUCACACUUUGGGUGUAGCCUCCGCCUCCUAACUGUCUCCAUCUACGUGCAGCUGAAAGAAGAAUUUCUUGUGCUGCAGUGCUCCUGUGUGUACACAAAUCAUCCAUUGAUUGUCUCUGUCUAAACCAGAUAAACACGCUUAACAUGUGGAUGCGCCGCUGUCAGGGGGACCCGUCCCCAAUGUGCACCUUGUGAUGAAAGCUGAAUUCAAUAAAAGAUGU
This is an RNA transcript of Chelmon rostratus (copperband butterflyfish), 2109 nucleotides long. It is a transcript of the gene named purinergic receptor P2X, ligand-gated ion channel, 1, with no coding region annotated. NCBI's taxonomy places the organism in Eukaryota, Metazoa, Chordata, Actinopteri, Chaetodontiformes, Chaetodontidae. The transcript is spliced from 13 exons. The record is from RefSeq and is a predicted model, not a curated record.